GGCUUUGCCCCUUUGCCUUCGCCUGCUCCCCAACUUUUCUCCCCCGCCUGCUCCCAUCCGGGGGGCUUCUGCAGCUUCAGGGGAGCAGGAGCUUUUCAAACGCCUGAGCAUUUAUUUCUUACCAAAAAAAAAAAAAAAAAAUCUACACACAGCCAAUCCCAGCAGUGGAGCGAGGCGCACUGCACAUACAGUCCCGCUCUCCAAGGCUGCCCUAGUCGGCUCCGGAUCCCAGGGCGCUCCCCGAUUUCGUCCCCGGCUCUUGUGCCAGCGCCUUUGCGUGCCCCUGAGCUCGGGACGCGGGGUUGCUGGAGAGGAAAGAACCUGGGUCGAGCCCUUUUUGGUGUCUGGGCGUUUCCGCCUCGGUCCCUCGCCACCAAGUCGCGGAGGUCACCACAGAAUCGACUCAGGCCACUGGAAAGAGGGGGCCUAAAGGCUGGGGCCCCAGCACUACCGUGGCAUCCCAGGCCGCUCCUAGACAGGAAGAAGCGUGAGGAACAAAGGGGACCCUGAGACAGCCUCCUCUCUCGGCCCCGCGCGCAACCGUCCGUGGAAGAGAAGCCGCCUCAGCCGAGCCGACCUAACCUGGGCGCGAGCGGAACUUUACAGCCCCCGGAGAGACUGGGCUCCCGAAGGCUCCAGCUCCGGAUCCCGGAUCCCCGCCUCCGAUAGUGCCUGCGCUUCUACCACAGUGGCUUUCAGGACCUAAGGAGGCGGCUCAGGACCCUGGGAACGGCAAAAGUCCUGGUUUCCAAAUGUGCCAGGGGUGCCUGCGACGCUCAGCCUCCAGCGGGAAGUACUCCCCAGGCCUUUCGGCUGUGUUUGUGAUUUACUUUCGUCUUUCAGGACCCGGGAAAAUAUCUACGAAGAUACUAGGCACUGCCACGAAAUGUUUCCAUUAGCACCCUCAUCUUACUCCUGGAGGUGUAAGCCAGACCCUAAUAAUUCGGCCCAAGGAUCCCCAGCCUCCCAGCAGCUCCUGUGGCUGCGGGGAGUCUGGGCCCACUCGGUGGGUUCAGCGAGAACCCUCCGACUUGGGGCCCGGCUGCCUCGAGGAAAGGGACCUGGUGGGGAAGAUUCUCCAGAUUGGAUACUUAAAGCAAAUCAAAUAGCGAACUAAUGACACGAAAACCAUAUUUACACGAAAGAAAAAUCGACUCCGGUUAUAAAAGUGUAUGGAAUCUGACCUCGCCUCGGAGAAACACUACACAAAAGCUAUCUUUAAUAGACGCCUGUCAUUUAAGAGCGGCAGGGACGCUGUCCCUCAUGCACUCACAGAAAAACAGAGCCGUAAUUGUAGCUGCUGCUGCGGGCAGGAUUUAUUUCUCCAAUUGGCUAAAUGGCCUCCCCCCUUCCCCGAAGGUGAUAUCUGUAUUUUCAAAUUUCAGAGCUGCCGGCACGACGGGCAGAACCGACCCCAACCUCGACACAAAAAUAAGAGGGGCUGCACAGCGGGGAAAUAAAGUUGUUGUAAAUAAAAUCCAAGUCACCAUCUCCCCCCCAAUCCUCUGCAUCCUCGCCGGGCGCGCGAUCGGCAGCUGACGGCCUCACAAUUGGUACAUCCUAAUGGAACUGCGAGGGAAAUGCAAUAAUUUUGCCAUAAUGGGCUGUAACCUCAAUUCGACCCCGGCCUUUGCAGCCCUGGGUCGGAAGCGGAGCGAUGCGCCCUGCCUCCAGCGGGUGGCGCUCGAGUCCGACUGAACGGCGGCGGCGGGUGGCGGGCACGCGCCGGGGGCGCGCGCGCCACCCCUCUCGCCUCCACCCAACUCCCCCAUUAGUGCACGAGUUUACCUCUAGAGGUCAUCAGGCAGGAUUUACGACUGGACAACAAAAGCACGUGAUUCGAAGUCGUACCCCAUAUUUGGGUGCCUACGUAGGAGGGAACCAAGUACAUGUCCCAGUCAUUUCCAUAAUUCAUCAUAAAUUGUGCAAGGGUGCUAUAGACGCACAAACGACCGCGAGCCACAAAUCAAGCACACAUAUCAAAAAACAAAUGAGCUCUUAUUUUGUAAACUCAUUUUGCGGUCGCUAUCCAAAUGGCCCGGACUACCAGUUGCAUAAUUAUGGAGAUCAUAGUUCCGUGAGCGAGCAAUUCAGGGACUCGGCGAGCAUGCACUCCGGCAGGUACGGCUACGGCUACAAUGGCAUGGAUCUCAGCGUCGGCCGCUCAGGCUCCGGCCACUUUGGCUCCGGGGAGCGCGCCCGCAGCUACGCGGCCGGCGCCAGCGCGGCGCCUGCCGAGCCCAGGUACAGCCAGCCGGCCACGUCCACGCACUCGCCUCCGCCCGACCCGCUGCCCUGCUCCGCCGUGGCCCCCUCGCCCGGCAGCGACAGCCACCACGGCGGGAAAAACUCCCUGGGCAACUCCAGCGGCGCCUCGGCCAACGCCGGCAGCACCCACAUCAGCAGCAGAGAGGGGGUUGGCACGGCGUCCGGAGCCGAGGAGGACGCCCCCGCCAGCAGCGAGCAGGCGGGCGCGCAGAGCGAACCGAGCCCGGCGCCGCCCGCCCAACCCCAGAUCUACCCCUGGAUGCGCAAGCUGCACAUAAGUCAUGACAACAUAGGCGGCCCGGAAGGCAAAAGGGCCCGGACGGCCUACACGCGCUACCAGACCCUGGAGCUGGAGAAGGAGUUCCACUUCAACCGCUACCUGACCCGCCGAAGAAGGAUUGAAAUAGCACAUGCUCUUUGCCUCUCUGAGAGACAAAUUAAAAUCUGGUUCCAAAACCGGAGAAUGAAGUGGAAAAAAGAUAAUAAGCUGAAAAGCAUGAGCAUGGCGGCGGCGGGAGGGGCCUUCCGCCCCUGAGUAUUUGAGCGUUUAAAGUACUGAGCAGUAUUAGCGGAUCCCGCGUAGUGUCAGUACUAAGGCUACGUGUGCCGCCUGGUCAUUCAAAUUGUCAAUUUUAGGUCCAGAAGUGUCCAAACCACAAGUUCUCAAAACUCUCUGAAAAAUGGCUCCCUCCGAGUUAAGGUAAGCUCGCCUCCUGAGCGCUUUCAAGUUUAUUUGUACUCUGGAAACUUUCUUCCUCCAUCUCUCUCUCUCUCUCUCUCUCUCUCUCUCUCUCUCUGGUUCAAUAACUCUGAGGUUGCCUCUGAAUUCAAAAGGGCAGAGCCCACUUCUCCUCUGCCCACAUUAGCAGCGCCGGGAGCCAGCUCUGCGGAGGCACCCCGGUGAAAAGCGCCUGUGGCCGCCGCGUCCCCAGGCCUAACUUUAAUUGCUGCACAACCGCGAAUGUUAAUGACUUCCGCUGCUCUCGCCGGCGUGCAAAAGAUGAUUUUUGUGUGCGAAUGGGCCUGUGUGCGGAGCCUUGGCAAGGCCAAGACCCCCAUUCCGGGGGCUGGCGGGGCUGGCUCGUCGGGGGGCAGAGGGGCCCUAGGGUGGGGGCUGGGAGACAGUGGGGCGCCGGCCACGGGCGCCGAGGGCCGCGCUGCGCUGAGGAGUGCUCGGAGUUUGAAAGAAAGGCCCAGGCAGGGCCGAGGCGGACUCUGGCGGGAUUCCUUACGGGGCUGUGGCAAUAUGUCUUCGCGGGCCGAGGUCAUUUGGCAGCCCUGAAUUGAGGCGGCUGCCUUCGGGGCCGAGUUUCAGGCCGGCUCUCAGAGAGCCGGAGGGUGGCAGAGGCCGGCGAGGCGCGGGCCGCACCUUCAGGCUGGGCCCCUGGGUGGCCAGGCCGAGCCCAGGACUGUGGGGACUGCGGGUCCCCACCUGGGGGGGAGGGGAAGAGCUCGACCCCCUCCCCGCCCCCGCCCCCCCCCCAACCCGGGACCAGGCCCUGAACCUUGUUUGCCUGCACGUUCUUUUUAUUUCGGUGGGACUGUUCUCACCCGCCUGUGAGUCUGAAGCAAUAAACUUUAUGGCCGGAUUUAACUUUAGUCUUUGAAUCCCCAGGCUAAAUGAAAGGAGUUAAAGGCUUUCUUUUCUUCCGCCUUCCCUUUCUUCUCCCUCUCUUCUUUCCUUUUCCUCUCCUCCUUUGUAGAAUUAAGACCUGCAGGCACAGGGCGCUCAAAAGGCAACUUAGGGGUCCCCCUAGGUAACACUAAAGAUUAGAGAAAUUCACUUCCCCUCAACAUACAGACAAAUUCUGUCUUCCAAACUGCGCCCUAAAGUUUUGGGGGAAGUCUAGGUGUCUUCAAUGCCCAACUUAAAAGUCCCCAGAGCCAUUAGGUUGUUUUUCCUGACACCUCAUAAAGGAUAGUUUAGGGAAGAAAUUGGUCGUUUGUCAGUAGGAGAUUUCCGCCUUUCUUUUGUUAGCUGCUCUUUCUGUUUGAUCCCAGGAAAUUUACAUAAUCUAUGAUUUCCAAAACAGUUCCCAAUAUUGCACCAACAGUGAAGUAAGGUGAAAUAAUUUUUUUCCUGGGUCCAGUUCCAACUUGGCCUCAGCCACCACCCCCUCUGGCCCAAAGCCUCAUAUUCUUCAGUGGCAAAGUGACUGGGGAUGCUGUGGCCUGUGCAGGGGUCUUUCUCUGGAUGGGUACCCACCAGAGACUUAGCAGAUUCCCCAACUCAGCCUGAAGAAUUAAGCCAAAUUCUCCAGCUCAGAAGUGAAAUUUAAAAAUAGAAACUUCUGUCUCCAAAUGCUUUUCUCCUUAGGAGCCGGAUAGUUUUCUGCAAGUGCUAAUUGGUAAUGAUAUUUGCUAAUGGCUUAAAGUGAAAAAAAAAUUAAGGUAUAGUUUGGGAAUUUCAACAAACUUUAUUGUGCAGAGGCCACUUAAACUCAGCGUAAGUCCCACAGUUGGUCCCCAAAGUCAGAGGUCCAAAAAACAAAACUGGGAAGUUUUUUUAAAAAAUCAAAACCCUCCCACAAGUCCCAGUUCUCUGACAUAGUGGCAAGGCAAAUCCCUGAAGUCACCCUGCGUGACCUGUUAAAGUACUGGUAUUUCAGCACUCAGGAAGAUAUGUCCGCAUCUUAGUGGGAACCAGAAUAUAAACUCUCUUUGGGUUCUCUUUUGUCAUUUUGGUGUCUGUGAGAAUUCUGGAGUUUUUGUUUUGCUGCUCUGACUUUUGAGUUCUUUACUGGAAAAUAUUGGGUUAAGUUUUUAUUUUAGUUACUCAUUUGGUGAUCUUGCUUGAGUGAUUUCUUGGUGACUAAAAUUAGUAGCAGAAAAAAAGAGCCAUAGGGCUCUGGCAGGUUCAUUUGAGUAACUUGCCCAAAAGGAAGCGUCCACAUCACCUCCACCUCCGUGGCCACAUCCCACCCUGGGUGGGGAAUGGGCAGAAAAGCUGUUAGACCGAUAUCCAGUAUUACCUACUGUAGGGAAUCUUUCCUGUGAAUUGAAAAAAAAAAUGCAGGCUAUAUAUACUGUCAACUUGCUUAUUUCUGUCUGUUGUAAUCUUCAUAAAAGUUCAGAGUUCUUAAGAGGGCAGAUUAAGUCACAAGGAGUUAAAUGACUUUUUAAAAAUACAGCAUUCAGUCAGACCUAUGUGAGCGUUAUUGGAGAAAUUUUUUUCUUCUUAUUUUCAUAGGAAGCAUAAUAGGGAGGAUGGCUGGUUUUCUGCUUAUUUUGUAGAUAAGUUAUUUCUUCUUGUGCCUUCUUUGGUGUUGUUUUGCAGAGGAACUUACUUAGGAAAAAAAUCUCUGUCAUUAAGGGCUUUAUGAAGACAUCCAGCCUCAGCCGGUGGCAGAAGUGUCUGUCUGUGCUCCUCAUCUUGUAAAAGGAGAAGGUGUCCUGUAUGUGCAGGGCCUUGUUUGUUUCUACAAGCCGCAGAGGCAAUAUUUCCUGAACUAUAAAUAUAAUAGGAAGCUUCUGGUCACACUUACUUAGGGGUUUGUUAGGGUUUCCAUGGUCUAAUUUCACAACAUUAUGCCGAGAUUCCUUUUCUCCAGCUCUUUCGCCUGCUUCAUUGUUGGCGGCUUUGGGAGAGCGGGACAGAAUUUUCUACCAGAAAUAGAGUCAUGUUUAUUUGUUGAGAUGUGAAGAGUAUUAUAUCCAAACAAUUAGUGAGGGGGAGAGCAAAUUACAUCCUGAAAGAUGGGAUGUUAAAGAGGAAAACAAUCCUUUUAGCUUAAAAGAUGCCCUUCAAAGCCUCUCCCCUGCCUUAGCUCGGAGUCUGAGGUUUGCCCACCAUGGAGAGUGCAGAACGUUGUGGGCUCCAUCCCCUUGGCUUCUAAGGCAGAAUUUCUUUCUAGUCAAUGACAAAACUAUAAACGGGGCUUCCAGACAAGGCUGAGGGGGUCAGCCGAGGUUCCCACCCACAGAGGAGAGGGGAACCACAGUCCUGGCCAUUCUAAACCCCAGAACUCCUAGAUCUGCCUAGGUCUGUUUUGUUUGGUGUUUUUCACAAAGAAAGCUGUCCUUCUUCCACCAGGUCCCCUCCCCACAAACCGGUCUUUUCAAUAAUAAUAUUUGUUAUGAAGGUUAUUGGGUAAUUAUUGCGAUUUUGUGAAGCAGCCCUUGCUGGAGGUGAAGUCUGUCAUCGCCUAACAAAUGACGCCCGUGCAGUUCACUGCCGGGUUAAGUAAAUGCAGAGAAGAUAAAUCUGCACACCCUAGGAAUCGCCAGCAGAGCACGCUUUAGUACAAGUUCACAGUCAACUCGCCUGCCUGGGCCAGCUCUCCCAACAAUUAAGGCUGCAUCUUUAUUUUUAAAUAAAGAAAAAAAAAUGUCUCCAACUCCUACUGCCUGCUUUCUCCCUGUUUUCUUUUUUCUUUCACUUUUUUUUUUUGAGGUUUCACCCUCCUAUUCCAAAUUCUCCUUGUAAAUGUGAUGAUGAGUGAUUUUGAAAAUAAUCUCCCUCAUAUUUAAGUGCUGACAAAAAGAGGUAGGAGGCUGAUUUGACAGGAAACCCAGUCACAAACACCCCAAAAUAUCCAAUUCACCCCCUUACUCCCAAGGACAGUGACAGAAGCAGGGUGUCCCUGAGAUCCUGGGGGGCCCCUUCCUCCUGAAGGAAGAGGCACAGCUUUGUGUAUCUUUGCGGCUAGUGCGUUGCAACUGCGGGUCAAAAAGUUGAGGGUCAAAAGUUUAUGUUGUGCAGCACUCUUAGUCAUCUGCCCAGACAGAGUUUGAUGUCAAUGUUAGAGCUGCGAUCUUGACUAUCAGCACAAAAGAUAAAAUGGCUCGGAGUGACGCGUGUAUCAUGGUAUGGACUCCAGGUGAACCCUAGUGGUUGAAUGACCUCAAUUACGGAGGAAAGGAUAGAAAAUUCCUCUUUUCAAGAGUAAUACAUGCUGUAUUUCAUCUUGAAUUAUCGCUCCCAUUCUGAGGGAAUAGCAGCAGGUAAAUAGGCAUGGAUUACUGAAACACCAACACCUUAGAUGCUGGAGAACCAGAAGUCUGUGAGUUUGCCACAAAAUUAAAAAGCUCAAAACAAAACUCAUCAGUGGACCUUUAAAAACUAAUAUAGCAAGUUUUCAGGGUCUCAACAUAUCUUCAGAGGCAAGAGAACUAGGCAGGACACUUCCUUUAUUUGAAAAUUGCUAUUUUGAUUGGACAGUUUCUUUUUCUUUUUCAUACAUAUAAUGAUCCCUCAAGUGCGUGAGAACAAGGGCAGGCACAGGCACUUCUCGCAAAAUGUCUUCUUUGCAAUUUUCAAACACAGAAUGGUUUUUCUGAAACCUCCACCCACUAAAUGCAAGAGUUCUCAGAGCUGGGAAGGGAAGGAAGGAAGUGGAAAUGCUCCCGAAAGGGCAGGAUUGUUCCCCCCUCCACCAGGGAGAAAAUGCAUAUUGGUAUGAUGAAAAUGUUCCUGUUGUUGGAAAUUUUUCAUUAUGUUUCUUGUUACCCCUAUACCGUAUAUAAGAGAAACGCUACAAUCUAUAAGGGAUAACUAAAAUGAAAAGAAUAUGCUAUUUGAACAGGAAAAUGGAAUCCACAAAUGCCAGGCCACUUUCUUAAGACCACCGUGAGGGACUUCUCUUCUUCUGAAAAUACUCUUUAAAAAUACAUUUGGAAUAAAAACUAAGGAGAGGGGAAGCAAGUUCAGGAGGAAGGGUGGGAGUGUAGAAAAGAAAGGGGUAGUGUGUUAAGGAAGCCAACUGGAACCAUGCCUCAUGUGUGAAUUGCAACUGGAGAACUAAACAAUAUUUUAUUUUUCAUGCACCUAUAUUAGCUGUAAAUGUUGGUGCCUUUAGAAUCUGUUUUCUGGAGGGACAUAUUGUCCUUUUCUAUGCAUUGAUCUUCAAGUAAUCAGAGUAGGAAAACAGGAGAGAAAAAUGAAAUUUUUUUCUACGUUUUCCCUUUUAACUUUAGAGAUGAGUUAAUUCAGCUACUCAGAAUGUGGACUCUUGCAGGGAUAUUUAAGAUCAUCCCAGUAUAUUCUGGUUGAUUGGAUUUGCUGGUGCCAGGUACGUUUAAUGGUAAUGUAAAUAUUUCCUAAGCACCGCCUUCAAGGAAGCCAUCAGAUUGCUUCCACUGUGCAAUGUGUAAAGUUUUCACUCUGGCCAAGAGCUUGAAGCCAGAUGGGGGUGUGCCAGAUGAAAACAAAAAAAAGGAAACAACCGUGGUGGUUACUGUUAUAGCAAUGAACACUUCACCACAUCUGGGCUAGCGAAAUGAAGAAAACUGAAACCCCCUCUAUUACUCACCAAGACAAUUAUGUGUCUCUUCAAGAAGACCUUGUUAUUGUGGUAUUGGUUAAAAGCGUGCCACACCUUAGAAACAUGUCAACUUCAAUAAGCAUAGACACCCCUUCACCAGCUUUAAAGUUGUUUUGUUUUGUUUUAAAGUACCUGCAGAAGUUAUUGCUUUUGGAGUACCCACCUUUUUUAUUUGGAGGAGUUUUAUCUUUAGGCCCCUCACACAAUUCAGUUUAAAAUUCAUGUUUAAUCCAGAUACAUAUUUCAAUCCUUAUGUGUGGGUUGAGUGCACUAUUGUAAACUACUACAAGGAAAGUGCCCCUUGGUGGAAUGGCUGAUAGAGUGUUGCUUCUCUAAAAUCAUAUGCCUACUGUAGAUCUCAGGAAGUCCUCAAAUGCCACCAUCAGGCAUUUUGAAAUAGAGCUAUUACCGUGUGCGCUCCAAAGACUUGCUUCAGACAGAGAACAGUCUGGAGAACACUCGCUCUAAAGAACAAAGGACAAAUACAGUCAAUACAUUCCAUAACGUUUACAUUUCCUUUGCUUUUCCCCUUGGUUUUCCCUGAGAAGGAGUGACCUGGGCAAAGCACUCUGCUCUCUAAAAGACACUGUAUAGACCUUUUAGAAGCGCAAAGUCCAAGGCCGAGGUGAACUUCAGGUCAGCGCGUCUAACAAAUAUGAAAAUGUCGGCUAGUGAAGGGCGCGCCUUGUGAUUUAACAAAGACUGUCAAUGUGUAAGAUUAAUAAGAAACAAAAUGCGCACGGUGUCACUGUUCGGUCACUUUGAAACUUGGGACAGGGUUGCAUUCAAGAGGGAAGGCUGUUCCAAAUAUAUUCAAAAUGAUUCAAAUCAGAUUCAAACGAGGCUGCAGACACUGCCUCCCUCUUGCCCUCCCUCUCCCUUAGACUCCCUUCGCUCUCCUUUUCCAUCUGGGAUUCGAGGACAUGAUGAAAAGUUAUUUCACUUAAUGGGAUUUUAAGAAAGCUUUUGUUGGGAAUAUAUGUUAUCUCUGCACGUGGAAAUGAGCAAAUGCGCUCACCAGUUUCCCAAGAAAAGGAUAACGCUUUCACCCUGCUAGGGACUGGAGCCAGUUGGUGUGCGAAGAUUAGCACGCUCCCUCUCUGCUCGAUUUCAGGGCAUCCCAUCUUUUCUCCGGCGAGACGCUGCUGGUAAACUUCAGUUUAUUUAUUAAUCAAGUUAGUCUCUUCCUGGCUUUGCUUUGGUGUGUUGGAUCUUAUGUAAAGGCAAGAGGUUUGGUUUUUUUAAAGCGUUUUUCAGAAGAUUAUUUGAUUCCAUGGAAUGAUGCUAUGGCUUGCAAAGAGAGAUUGUGGAAGGAUCAGAAAAGGUACUGAGAUUGUUUAUUACAGCCAUAAAUCUUGCAGUAAAAUGUCAAAAUGUCGGUGUGUGAGAUAACACUUGGUGGUCCUGGCUCCGUUUGUGUUUAUGAUAGGAACCACAAAGACAAGUUACAGGCCUUGGGGGAUUCUGUGUAAGCCCAUCUUCCAAAAGUAAUAGAACCACAUGAAACACAGGCACAGUUAACUCGUUUAGGUUAACCAUAUACAAAACAGUGCCUGUGUCUCGUUAAUACUUUAAAAAUAGAAACGCAGUAGAAGGUUCUGAGGCUAAACAACAUGAAUUUUGUGUUUUAGUGUCUGUAAAUAAUAUUAAACAGAUGUAGUUAAGACCCUAGUACUCAAGGCUGAUGACAUGAGGAUGGCAAAAUUUCCUUGUCAUGUUUUUUUUUCUUUCCCUGAAGCUUAGGAAGCCACGUUUUGUAAAUUACAUUAUGUAUGUAUAUAUUGUUCAUAUAAAAUAAUAUAUAAAAUAUGAUGCACAUAUUUUUUUCUUGUUGUAGAGAAAUAACUGAUUUAGUUAGCUAUAUCACAGGCUAGAUUUCCCCCCAACUCUAGAGAGGAUGUCUAAAGAUUACGCUCAGUGUUGAUUUCUGUCUGUGGCUCAGAUUUCAUUU
Mustela erminea (ermine) is the source of this 10482-nucleotide RNA transcript. It is a transcript of the gene named homeobox A5, with no coding region annotated. Lineage: Eukaryota; Metazoa; Chordata; Mammalia; Carnivora; Mustelidae. The transcript has 3 exons. The record is from RefSeq and is a predicted model, not a curated record.